UACGGAGGGUGCAAGCGUUGUUCGGAUUCAUUGGGCGUAAAGGGUGCGUAGGCGGAUUGCUAAGUCAGGGGUGAAAUCCUGGAGCUCAACUCCAGAACUGCCUUUGAUACUGGUGAUCUUGAGUCCGGGAGAGGUGAGUGGAACUGCGAGUGUAGAGGUGAAAUUCGUAGAUAUUCGCAAGAACACCAGUGGCGAAGGCGGCUCACUGGCCCGGUACUGACGCUGAGGUGCGAAAGCGUGGGGAGCAAACAGG
Molecule: ribosomal RNA, 253 nt
Filed under: uncultured bacterium
Lineage: Bacteria
Description: partial 16S ribosomal RNA
Rfam family: Bacterial small subunit ribosomal RNA
Source: RNAcentral